Molecule: long non-coding RNA, 1428 nt
Organism: Poecilia reticulata (guppy)
Lineage: Eukaryota; Metazoa; Chordata; Actinopteri; Cyprinodontiformes; Poeciliidae
Source: RefSeq, a predicted model, not a curated record
UGGAGAGUCACUGCUUCACAUAAUUUAGAGUCUGCAGCCUUUUACCGUUGCAAAAACACUGUGGCUUGCUUUUAAUUUGGCGUAAUUGACUUAAUCAUGAAGCCGUUUGGUCAACAAUUACAGUUUGUUGACGACACGUAGAAAGGUAAGCUUUCUGGGCAGAAUCACCCAAAAACUCCACUUGGAUACAUCAAACAGCUGAUUUUUAGAUAUUCAUUGUUUUUCCUUUCUGUAAAACUGCUGUAAAAUGUGGAUAAGAGGCUGUAAUUCUGCAUUUUUGCGCCCAAUUUUCUCGCCGUGAAGCAGGCGGAGGUUUUGUGCAGAGUGUUUACUCAACUCCUGCAACUGGAGUCAGAAUGACCACACAGCCCACCUCUAGAGAGAAACACUGGUUAAAAGUUCGUCUGUGGGGUCACACACAUUCCCUCCUGGUGCCUCCCACAUGAUCCGCCAUUCAGAGAGCGACACCACAGGAAACGCACACUCCAGUCCGGAGGCGAGUCUUCCCACAUAAAGGUCAACGCAAUCUACAUCUGGCUCCUCUGCCGACACGCAGCAUCACUGAUGAUCGCCGUUGUUGGGGGAAAUGUGGGCGCACUAAGCUGCACCAGCAGAAGUUCUGGAUGCAUAUAGGUGUGGGAGAUAUGAGGUAUAUGAUCCUGCGGUGUCCAACCAUCUGGUGUUGGGAUGUGAGACAAUCUGUCCAUUUGGAGAGGCGACAGAGAAGGCGAUAAGCAAAGAAAUCUCACAUACAGAGGAUCUGGAAUCGUGUCAAGAAAACACAACCCUAUGCACGUACACACAAACAGGUUUUAGAUUACUUAUACCAACUGCACCGUCUCUAUGGUAACUAGCAGCUGUCAUGGCAACCAAGUACAAACGACGUUAGAAAAAAACAAACCUUGAACUCUGAUUUUCAGUUUUGAUUUGGAUAACUUGAACAGAAAACUCACUCUUUUUUUUUUGUCUUCUUUUUUCUCCAGACACAUUGAAGUAUUUUCUUUCACUUCCUGACUUUAAAGCGGUUUAAUGAAAGACGGGAAUGCAGGUAACUGAGGACACGGCAGACAGUUGAAGACUUCUUCUCCGAUACCAGGAUGCAGACGUCUGGAAAACAUUAGGGGAACGGCUCCUCCAGGGCCGCAAACUAUCUGCACUUCACCGUGAAAGCAUCUUUCCGAAAUGAAAUUCAUUUACUAAAUCUGGGCUGAAAGAGAAAGGCAGCAGCGCCAUCGUGUGGAUUACUACACAACGUGCAUGCACCCUGCUGCACUGCAGGAUCAUAAAUAUGCAAGAGAAAAGAUAUCUACAUUAAUCUAUGUUCAGUUUUAUAUGCUGCUCUAAUAAAUGUAAAUAUAUUUAGGAUUUAUUCAGAGGACGUUUUGAGAUUUUACAGGCUUACAUUAAAAGAUGGAUGGAUUUACUUUG